This 1674-nucleotide long non-coding RNA is filed under the name Brassica napus (rape). RNAcentral describes it as "long non-coding RNA (BNAP_LNC010168)". The record is from RNAcentral. Lineage: Eukaryota; Viridiplantae; Streptophyta; Magnoliopsida; Brassicales; Brassicaceae.
GGAUUACGAAAUAGUUUAUUUAGUUAUUCCUAAUGAGUUUAGGACAAUUAAUGUGUUAUAUAAGGAUAUGCAAGAGUGUUGCAUAAUGUGUGAGUUGUGAGAGUUGAGAGCUUAGUUUUGAGAAAGUUUCUAAGCAAUAAAGAGCAUGAGUUUGAGUUAUAUUACUUUGAGUUCUUGAGACCGUGAAUUUAUAUUUAUUGUUAACAGAUUCUUUUAAAAUAGUGACUCAACUUUUGGUUUUACUAGGGGCAUUGCAUCCGCGCAAACGCGGAGUUGUGGACAGAGUUCUUGUUUCAUCUCAAUAUUUGUUAGGGUUAUUGUAGUUGUGAAUUUUACGUUUUGAGUUGUUUUUCAAGUUUUUUUAUUGUUAUAGGGUUAGAGUUGUGAUGAUGAACUGUGUAUGCAUUGUUCUCCACUUAUGAAGGACUAAAUUGUGUGUCAGUAAGACUUAUUAUUUGUUUGUCUUUUUAAUUUGUUUCUUAUACUGUUGAGAGUACAUAAAUUAUAUUAAAAUUGUUGAGAGUAUCUUUUGUUUCUGGAUAUUUUUUAUCCGGUUUAGUUGUGUAAGUUGUGUGUAUUAAGUAAUACUUUUUAUUAUCCUUAUUAUGUUUGUUAUAUGUUUUUAUUUUAUUUUUAAAUUUGUUGCUCGUACCAGACCUUUAAAACAAAUACAUGAAGACUUGUAGAAAUAACUAUAAAAUGAGUGACAGUUCUGAGUAUUUGGGCUUUAAUGAGUUUUAAACGAAUUUAAGUAUUUCUCAUAAGAAGACAAUAGCAUUGGGCUAUUGACAUUGGACAUGUAAGCUAUUUUUAUAAAACAAGAGGAGUGAGCAGGUGGAGAUGUUGUUGCCGCAUUUGUGUCUGUCGGGAUUUUCUCUUGUAUCUCUUGUUGUGGUUGUGUUUGUUUAUCUUUUAUUUGAUGGGUAAUAUGUAAACAAAAAUCAUUGUCAGUUGUAUUUAUCAGAGUUCAUAACUUACUCUGCUUUUUUUGUUUAGGUAAUUUCACUGAUUUUGGUUGUCAUCUUCGUCUUCUUCGUUGCGAAAGUAAGUUUGUAAAUUUUUAAAUUGCUGGCCGUUUAGUUUGUAUUUGUUUAGCUGACUCGAUGUAUGUGUCGUUGCGAAAGUAAGUUUGCAAAUUGUUAAAUAGCUGACCGUGUAGUUUGUAUUUGUUUAGCUGACUUGAUGUAUGUGUCGUUGAGUUUUAGUUGAGGUGAUUGGUUUGGUAUAUUUGUUUUGAAGUUUAUUUCUAAGAUUAGAUAAAAAAGAGAGGUGAUCAUUAAUGAUUCGUCUUUUUUGAAAUUCUAGUUUUUGGUGUUUUGAUUGUUUGGGUUGUUGUGGUUUCUUUUAAGCUGUAAAAUAAAGGUUUUUGUAAAAUUAGUUUGAUAAGUAAGAGAGAUAAAUAGACAACCACAAAAUUUGGGUAGGAAAUAUUUUUGAUUAUUGAUGUCAGUACAAUAUAGGUAAUAAUAUAAAGGAAAUUGUGUGUUGAUUGUUUCUUACGGAUCAAUGAGGAGACGGAUAACGACUCGAGUUGUUUCUUUGCUAAGGUAAGAGCCUUGGACAGAACGGAUUUGCCCAACUACAUCUGCGAGUUUAAAUAUCAGUUAUGAUAACAAAACAUAUUAUAAACCCAGAUGCAAUAUGAUAAUAUACUUGGGAGUUCUAGGUUUGUGU